Molecule: ribosomal RNA, 460 nt
Filed under: uncultured bacterium
Lineage: Bacteria
Description: partial 16S ribosomal RNA
Rfam family: Bacterial small subunit ribosomal RNA
Source: RNAcentral
CCUACGGGAGGCAGCAGUGAGGAAUAUUGGUCAAUGGACGAGAGUCUGAACCAGCCAAGUAGCGUGAAGGAUGACUGCCCUAUGGGUUGUAAACUUCUUUUAUAAAGGAAUAAAACGAGGCACGUGUGCCUUUUUGCAUGUACUUUAUGAAUAAGGAUCGGCUAACUCCGUGCCAGCAGCCGCGGUAAUACGGAGGAUCCGAGCGUUAUCCGGAUUUAUUGGGUUUAAAGGGAGCGUAGAUGGGUUGUUAAGUCAGUCGUGAAAGUUUGCGGCUCAACCGUAAAAUUGCAAUUGAUACUGGUAGUCUUGAGUACAGUUGAGGUAGGCGGAAUUCGUGGUGUAGCGGUGAAAUGCUUAGAUAUCACGAAGAACCCCGAUUGCGAAGGCAGCUUACUAAACUGUGACUGACAUUGAUGCUCGAAAGUGUGGGUAUCAAACAGGAUUAGAUACCCUUGUAGUC